GGCCAUGUGGCCCAAUGGCAAGGCGCUUGACUACGAUCCCAGGGCUCUAACCCUCCGACGGCGAUCAAGAGAUUCCAGGUUCGACCCCUGGCAUGGUCA
Molecule: non-coding RNA, 99 nt
Organism: Lentithecium fluviatile CBS 122367
Lineage: Eukaryota; Fungi; Ascomycota; Dothideomycetes; Pleosporales; Lentitheciaceae
Source: the annotation of a GenBank genome assembly